UCAAAACUUGCUGAAAUGGUGGUUGACUAUCAUACGAAGUAGCGACGAAUGAAACAAAAGCAUGACGAGGUAGCCGUCAGCUCUCGCUGGUCUCACUCUCAGUGUUGUGUGCCAUUUCCACUUCUGACAGAGCGAUUUCGUUACUGUAUCUAAUUAUGGUGCCUGUUGUCCACAAAGAUGAGGCCCAGGUGAUUCCAGAAUACACAUGAUACAGGAUGAACACCUCUGAGACACAGAGAAAAACAGAUGUUUUCCCUGGACUGUAUCAGCUAACCUACUUAAUGCUGGUGGAUACUUGUGAUGUUAAAUGUAACAUCAGUGAGGUCGCUGGGGAGGAAACAAUCACCCAUGAUGAUUUUGAUGGCAAGAAUAUUGAGCCAAACAUUUUCUCUCCAGACUGGGCACAGGCCAAAUAUGAAAGUAACUGUAUAUCAACACAGAGACAAACAUGUCAGUGCUUCCAGUACUAAUUACUAUGCUUAGUGCUGCAGCAAUUUAUUUAC
Molecule: long non-coding RNA, 503 nt
Filed under: Haliotis rubra (blacklip abalone)
Lineage: Eukaryota; Metazoa; Mollusca; Gastropoda; Lepetellida; Haliotidae
Description: uncharacterized LOC124285362
Source: RNAcentral